GCCAAACCUCAUGGCUGUCGUGGGUUAAAGCUAAGACAAGCCGGGUCAAGACAACAUAACAGCAUCAGCUUCAGUGAAGACAUGAUGAUGGCCACUGGGUGGCUUCACUCCCAAAGCUUUCAGACUGCAGCUCAAAACCUGUGUCUGAGGCCACAAAUGAAAAGCAAACAAGAGCAACAAUGAAUACUUGGUGUGCAAGCAAAUAGGAAGAGGGCACCAGAUCUCAUAAUGGAUGGUUGUGAGCCACCAUGUGGUUGCUGGGAAUUGAACUCAAGACCUCUGGAAGAGCAGUCGGCACUCUUAACCUCUGAGCCAUCUCUCCAGCCCCUAGAAGAUACAAUCUUACAGCAGACUUCCUGGGCCUCUGGUUUUCAUAGCCUUUCAUCCCUAAAACAACAAUUCUUGAACUGGGGGAGCCAUAGCAAGGAUCUGUAACAACUGAAGAAGGGACAGGGUUAAUUCUACCAUGCCUCUUGAAUCAGAAUGACUUUCUGCAGCACCCUGUGAGGCUCUACUGGAGUGACUCCAAACAUGGAAAGUUUCUUC
This 546-nucleotide long non-coding RNA is filed under the name Cricetulus griseus (Chinese hamster). Its description in RNAcentral is "lncRNA (ENSCGRG00015040452.1)". The record is from RNAcentral. Lineage: Eukaryota; Metazoa; Chordata; Mammalia; Rodentia; Cricetidae.